AGUUUGAUCCUGGCUCAGGAUGAACGCUAGCGGCAGGCUUAAUACAUGCAAGUCGAGGGGCAGCAGGGUGUAGCAAUACAUUGCUGGCGACCGGCAAACGGGUGCGGAACACGUACACAACCUUCCUUUAAGUGGGGGAUAGCCCAGAGAAAUUUGGAUUAAUACCCCGUAAGAUUACGAGAUGGCAUCAUUUAGUAAUUAAAGCUCCGGCGCUUGAAGAUGGGUGUGCGGCUGAUUAGGUAGUUGGUGCGGGUAACGGCCCACCAAGCCAUCGAUCAGUAACUGGUGUGAGAGCACGACCAGUCACACGGGCACUGAGACACGGGCCCGACUCCUACGGGAGGCAGCAGUAAGGAAUAUUGGUCAAUGGACGCAAGUCUGAACCAGCCAUGCCGCGUGGAGGAUGAAGGUCCUCUGGAUUGUAAACUUCUUUUAUCUGGGAAGAAAUGCAAUUUUUCUAAAUUGUUUGACGGUACCAGAAGAAUAAGCACCGGCUAACUCCGUGCCAGCAGCCGCGGUAAUACGGAGGGUGCAAGCGUUAUCCGGAUUCACUGGGUUUAAAGGGUGCGUAGGUGGGCAGGUAAGUCAGUGGUGAAAUCUCCGGGCUUAACCCGGAAACUGCCAUUGAUACUAUCUGUCUUGAAUACCGUGGAGGUGAGC
Molecule: ribosomal RNA, 660 nt
Filed under: uncultured Chitinophagaceae bacterium
Lineage: Bacteria; Pseudomonadati; Bacteroidota; Chitinophagia; Chitinophagales; Chitinophagaceae
Description: bacterial SSU rRNA
Rfam family: Bacterial small subunit ribosomal RNA
Source: RNAcentral